RNAcentral lists this small nuclear RNA (20 nucleotides) under Arabidopsis thaliana (thale cress). RNAcentral's name for it is "snRNA_01689". Lineage: Eukaryota; Viridiplantae; Streptophyta; Magnoliopsida; Brassicales; Brassicaceae. The record is from RNAcentral.
GACUGCUUAAUCCUGAAGCA